RNAcentral lists this long non-coding RNA (5409 nucleotides) under Eucalyptus grandis. Its description in RNAcentral is "long non-coding RNA (EGRA_LNC002350)". The record is from RNAcentral. Lineage: Eukaryota; Viridiplantae; Streptophyta; Magnoliopsida; Myrtales; Myrtaceae.
CUCCAGCUCCAUCCCAAAGGCUGCUCGAGCUGUGGCUUGUAUGGAUGAUAAGAUCAGAUCAAGGGCAAGGUAUAGGUGGCAGCAGUAGAUUAACAAGAUCAGGUUUGGAUGGAAAUGGUCGCCGUAGUCGUAUACACGUAAUAGCAUCACAAAAAGCAAAGCUUUUGUGGGAUAGUUCAGCAGCAAGAUGGUUUUGGGUCUAAUGUUUUCAGGAUUUUGAGGAAGUGGGUUUUCUUUAUGAUGGCCAUUUUGAGGUGAGCGUGUGUGAUCUUUGGUGUUCUGUGUCCUCUGUGGUGAUUUCUUAAGGGGCGUCCGUUGGAUCUUGAUGGGUAAGCAAGCAAUUGCCAAGAAGCGUGGAAGAGAGAUUGGAGGAUCUGAAGAUAAAGGCCCUUUGCCAAAGGCAAAGAGGAGGAGCUUGGAGUUGCCAAGCCAUGAAAUGAUGAAGCUAGUUUGGCCUAUAAGAUUCACAGCUGAUAGAUUGAGAGGAAGAUAAAGAAAGAGAGCCACGACGGGAAGAAUCGGUAAGAGCCUUCUAGUGCCUUUUGGGAUGAUCCUGCCCACUAUGUAGCAAUAGCACAGAGACAUCAAAGCUGUGAUGCAUACCUUGAAGAAGUUGUAAAUCUCUCCUUCCAUGCACUCUCUCUCUCUCUCUCUCUCUCCCCCCUCCCUGUUCCUUAAUUUUCAGCUGCACUGUCUUUGGAUCUCUUCGCUGGACAGCUGAACAUGAUAGAGUUUUGCGCGAGUUUGAGAGUCAGAUAUUGACAAGAAGAGGUCAGUCGUAUCUUCAAUAAGCAAAGACCUAGUAAGCGGCUUGCCUGCUUCUUUUAUUUAUUGUUUCUCAUCUUAGCAAUGCUUAAAUGGACCUCUCUCUUUUUUUGUGCAGGAAUUAAAAAAUGGUCGGUACUUUAUUCAUUUUAUUGCCGCGUGAGAUGAACCGGCAAUUUUUUAUGUUGAAUCAACGACCUCAAAGCAUGUUAUGUGCGGCUGCUUUUGUAAUAGGGAAAAUGUCACAAAUGGUUUCUAUACUAUUACCUAAUGUGCAAUUUGGUCCCUGAACUUUCAAUCGGCUCAAUUUNNNNNNNNNNNNNNNNNNNNNNNNNNNNNNNNNNNNNNNNNNNNNNNNNNNNNNNNNNNNNNNNNNNNNNNNNNNNNNNNNNNNNNNNNNNNNNNNNNNNCCUUGUUCUCACUUAAUCGGACCUGCGGCUCCUUUGGAUGCUCAAAUUUAGAGGCUUAUUUUCUAACAUUGUCCCAAUUUGAGAAAAAUAGACAGCUCUAUUGGGAAUCAAAGUAUCAGACCAACUUGAUGUCGGAGGUUUGUUUGUCAAAACAAACUAAGUGUUUUUUCCUUGUCCCACAUAAGAAAAGUGGGAGGGAGUGGGCCAAUUUAAAAAUGUGAGAUUUCCUUUUUCUAGUUAAAGGAAUGAUUGGGUGAGGUUAGACCCAACCAUAUUCACAUGCGGGUGCGCAAAUAAUUGCAUGAUUAUUUGGCCCACUUAGCACGCCUGCAUGCUGCGGUUUAAUUAGCACUAAUCCAUUUGUUAUUUUUUUAUAUUUUUAAUUUUUAAUCAAUUCAAAGGUUGCUUUUUUAAUUUGAGAAUUUUCAUAAAUGAAAUAUAAAAUGAAAAUUCGAAAUUCUAUUUAAAAAAAGAACUAUUAUUCCUAAUUUUUAUUUGUGUUUUUUUUAUAUAAUUUUUGGAAAAUUACUUUUUCAGUUUGCAACUUUUCCCGAAGGGUUGCAAUUGUUCGGUUUUCGACUUCUUCUGAAGAGUCGCAUUUGUUUGUCCAAACAAUUUUUCUAAAUGACGUGUUUGUUCAUUUUUUGGCAAUUUUCAUGAAGAGUUGCAAGACUAUUUUAUAUAUAUACUCGUUAUUUUUUGGAAAAACAAGAGUGAUAAUUUUUCAUCUUUUUCGAGCUUUCUAUUUGAAAAAAACUACAGCUAUUCUUUCAAUUGUUUCCUAGAGAGACCCUGAAGAAAUACUAGAAUUGCUAUCUAGUAUUCUCAUUCGAGACUUUGUUGUAUCCUAGAGGAUUUUUGUCCGUGACCAUUAGCAACGUUAUGGAACAAAUAAAUCCUUAAAGAAAGUGAUAUCACGCCUCAAAGUCCAACUUGAAUACUCUGAAUAUCCAUCUUCAUUCUUUUACCCAAUUCGAAACCAUAUUUUCACAACACUUGAAUAUCAAUGGUUGCCAUCAUCUUGAAGAUUCGCCUAAAGAAAUCAAAGACCUUGUGAAUCUUCGGUGCUUGACUUUAGGGUGGUGUUGUUGAGUAAAGAAACUACAAGAUUCCAUAUGGAAAUUGAAAUUGUUACAUACGAUGUAGUUUUCGGCCGAGUAAUUUGAAUCAAAUUCAUCUUCAAACGAUGCAUGGCAGUUGCCUAUUGCAAUGGAAAUGCUCGAAGUCAUGACUCAAAAUUUGAAAGGUCAACUUCUCCAGAAUCGAAAGUUUUGCCCUUUUUUGAGAAUCUUAUACUUGUCGUGCCCUUGCAUCAGUGAAGUUCUAGCGAUAGAUAGUAUGCUUCCUUACCUGCAAACACCUGAGUUAAAAGUAUGCAACAAGAUUCAGGAUCUGCUGACACUUUUCGCAAGUUUAAACAAUCUACUAGUGUUGUCUAUAACAUUGCAAGUAGUCCUAGUUCUCUCGAAUUUGACUAGCUUGGUUCAGUUCGACCUAUCUAAUGGUUCUAGUUGGAGAGAAGGAAGCAAAAUUCGCCAGUUAGUAGGGUGGACUGGGAGGUUAUCCAGACUGAAUGAGCUGAGCUUGAAUCUUCUCAAUGUCCCUGCUCCUACUAAGUAGGCUUCCUUGGUUAAAGAAUCUUCAUUUGUCAAGGUUGGACCUGCGAAAACUUGUGCAACUUCCUCCACCUCUGUUAAAUUUAAGCCUUGACCACUUCAAUUCAACUGUGUCACUCUCAUCCAAAUUAGAAGAUUUGUGAAGUCUAGAGCUCCCACGGUCUCAAGUGCAAGAAGAAUACUCAACAGCCUUCAACUUCAAAAUUUAACAGAGUUGGUUCUGAAAAGCUGUCAAUCCUUUGAGAUAUUCAUACUAUCAAAAAUGAGGAAGCUCAAAACCAGUCCGAGUAGAAUAUUGCUCAGAGCUAGUUGAGAUCCAACUUGCCGGGCUGUAUGACUCAUUGGAAGCAUUUUCUAGCAUGUGGUGUGAGUCCUUGGGAAAGGUUAGCUUAUACGGGUGGAGUCUGCAAAUGAGUCGAUUAUUUGUGGAGGGACUCUAAUUUUUCUGUCGCGAGUACUAAAUAAGCUUAAAAAGUUUCUGCUUAGGGGUUGCCCGAAGAUACUCAAAUUCAAGAACUGGGUACAUUGGAAAAGGGGGAGGGUCGGACGUCUCGGAUUAUUGUUAGGCGGAAAGUGUUUGUGAUUGCGAUGGGCUGCAGGUUGUCGAGGACCUUGACAAGCUACAGUUUUUGAAUCAGUUAACCAUUCAUCGCUGCGGAUAAGUAAAAACGUAGAUCGAUGUAUCACGAACAGAAUUUCCUAAGGAUAGCAACAUAGAUAUCUUCGACUGCUAGAAAUUUGCUGAGGCUACAAUUCGAUGUCUCCAUCCAGUCUUGCGAACAUUAUAAGGUGAGUUGAACCUUCUCCUUUCUUUCUUUGUUUUUUCUACUCACCUUUUUUCUUGAUGGAUAGCAACGAUCGCCUAAUUCUGUCCCAGGUUGCUUACUCCCGUCUCUAUAUCACUUAUACAUAGCAAACAUUUGAUGUGCUAAAAUAUGAUCUGGUGUUGCCUUUCUACAUAGUUUAUAUGAGGCUUAUGUACACGUAUAGUCUAUCUCCAUCUAAUAACUUAUUCUAAUAUAGAUAACUGGAAAGAGAGAUUUGGUGUCUUAUGGAAUCUAAAUGAAAUGAUUCAGAAGGCCAUAGACAAUAGUGAACUCAACUUUUGAACACGGACAGAUCAGUUGUUCGGAACCCCGGUCUAGUGUGAGGUGGGGGGCAUCUUGGGUGAUCUCCUCAGCUGUUGGGCUUCGGGCUUUUACGGGUUUUGGGGAACCAUGGCGACCCCGAUUGUGGAAUUGUGCGCUCUUAGAGAGGGUCUGAGACUUGCUCUGCAAUGUCAUAUAUUCACAAUGAACUUGAUGCAAGAAAUCCUUCAUGACAGGUUUCUUAAUAAAACAACAUGUAAAAUUAGAAUCCGGAACCGCUCUUUUUGGAAUGAAGGACUAACUUCAGGAGCUUUACCCAAUACCAGACGGAGCGCAGAUUUUGAGGCAAAUCGCUGUGCUGAUUUCAUGGCAAAGAAGGGCUGCUUGCAAUAGGAUAAUCGUAAGAUCUUAGGGGAACCUCCAUUAGACAUUUUGAAGCUACUGGAGUUUGACUGUAGGUGCUGCUGUGUCCACGGAGCCGUUACAAUUUGCGUAGUACCUUAGUUUCUGCAUUUUACGACCACUGGGUCCUCAACCGCUGGUGGAGAAUGAAGAAAAGAAGAAGAGAAUGAUAAAGAUCAUCUUGUUUUGCCUGAAACAGAGAUGGUAAUGACAGAGCAGAAAAGAAAAUUGUUGCGGAAAUUUGCAUUAAGGAACGAGAAAGGCCUUAUUUCAAAUUUUAUCUGCCCUUUCUUCCAUCAAAUUUAGGCACAGAAUGUCUACUGGGUAACAUACCCAACGCCCUUAUUAAUCAGAAUCAUGAAAUGUCACAUCAAGACAUUCUACAAAAUCCAAGACAUCACAGCUCGACCGACAUCCUUAAGAAACUCGCCUGCAGCUGCAUACUCUUCCAACGCCUUCUUGAUGACACCAUCCCUCAGGAGCUGUGGAAAAAACAGCCAAGAUGCGGUCACCAUCACGAAUGUGACCGUCAUCAGACCCGUCAAAACCCUCGGCAACCGCCACUUCGUGCCACACUUCCUCUUCACCACCACCUCGAUCACCAAACAUGCCCCGUGGAGCACGAAAAACCACAUGACCUCCCAAGUAGGCUUCACGCGUCCCAUGUGGAAAAACAUCAGCUCGUGCAUGAGCCCAGAUACCAGGAAGGAGGCCAUCACUGCUGGCAGCGCCGCCCACUUGCGCCCGAUUGCCGCCGACGCGGCAUAGUGGACUGGUUCAUAUAUGGUCACUCGCAGGAUGUUGGUGACCAUGAGGUUCCACCGCUUGCCCCAGAAGUCUUGAAGUGAAGACGAGAGGUACGGCUCACGGAACUGCGGCUCCAGCUCCAUCCCAAAGGCUGCUCGAGCUGUGGCUUGUAUGGAUGAUAAGAUCAGAUCAAGGGCAAGGUAUAGGUGGCAGCUGUAGAUUAACAAGAUCAGGUUUGGAUGGAAAUGGUCGCCGUAGUCGUAUACACGUAAUAGCAUCACAAAAAGCAAAGCUUUUGUGGGAUAGUUCAGCAGCAAGAUGGUUUUGGGUCUAAUGUUUUCAGGAUUUUGAGGAAGUGGGUUUUCUUUAUGAUGGCCAUUU